AGCGAACGCUGGCGGCAUGCUUAACACAUGCAAGUCGCACGGGCGGGGGCAACCCUGUCAGUGGCGGACGGGUGAGUAACGCGUAGGUAUCUAUCCUUGGGUGGGGGACAACUGUGGGAAACUACAGCUAAUACCGCAUGAUAACUGAGGUUUAAAGGCGCAAGUCGCCUGGGGAGGAGCCUGCGUACGAUUAGCUAGUUGGUGGGGUAAAGCCUACCAAGGCGAUGACGUUAGCUGGUCUGAGAGGAUGAUCAGCCACAUUGGGACUGAGACACGGCCCAAACUCCUACGGGAGGCAGCAGUGGGGAAUAUUGGACAAUGGGCGCAAGCCUGAUCCAGCAAUGCCGCGUGUGU
Molecule: ribosomal RNA, 354 nt
Filed under: uncultured bacterium
Lineage: Bacteria
Description: bacterial SSU rRNA
Rfam family: Bacterial small subunit ribosomal RNA
Source: RNAcentral